This 76-nucleotide transfer RNA is filed under the name Clostridium sp. RNAcentral's name for it is "tRNA-Thr". It matches the Rfam family "tRNA". Rfam says of the family: Transfer RNA (tRNA) molecules are approximately 80 nucleotides in length. Their secondary structure includes four short double-helical elements and three loops (D, anti-codon, and T loops). The record is from RNAcentral. Lineage: Bacteria; Bacillati; Bacillota; Clostridia; Eubacteriales; Clostridiaceae. RNAcentral also lists the same sequence under 2 other names.
GCUGGAAUAGCUCAGUUGGUAGAGCAGUUGAUUCGUAAUCAAAAGAUCGCAGGUUCAAAUCCUGUUUCCAGCACCA